AAUAAGCUAUUUAAGAGCGUAAGGUGGAUGCCUUGGCUCUCAGAGGCGAUGAAGGACGUGAUAAGCUGCGAUAAGCUACGGGGAUUGGCACACACAAUUUGAUCCGUAGAUUUCCGAAUGGGGCAACCCACUAUAUUGAAGAUAUAGUAUCCGUUAAGGAAGCAAACCCAGGGAACUGAAACAUCUAAGUACCUGGAGGAAUAGAAAACAAAAGUGAUUCCGCUAGUAGUGGCGAGCGAACGCGGAACAGCCCAAACCAAAAUUGUUUCGGCAAUUUUGGGGUUGUAGGACCACGACAUUGAAUG
RNAcentral lists this ribosomal RNA (305 nucleotides) under uncultured Flavobacteriaceae bacterium. RNAcentral's name for it is "bacterial LSU rRNA". It matches the Rfam family "Bacterial large subunit ribosomal RNA", at positions 1 to 320 of the family's 2925-position model. Lineage: Bacteria; Pseudomonadati; Bacteroidota; Flavobacteriia; Flavobacteriales; Flavobacteriaceae. The record is from RNAcentral.